Molecule: ribosomal RNA, 469 nt
Filed under: uncultured bacterium
Lineage: Bacteria
Description: partial 16S ribosomal RNA
Rfam family: Bacterial small subunit ribosomal RNA
Source: RNAcentral
GACGAACGCUGGCGGCGUGCUUAACACAUGCAAGUCGAACGGAAAGGCCCUGCUUGCAGGGUGCUCGAGUGGCGAACGGGUGAGUAACACGUGGGUGAUCUGCCCCUUACUUUGGGAUAAGCCUGGGAAACUGGGUCUAAUACUGGAUAGGACCAUGCUGUAGGUGGUGUGGUGGAAAGAUUAGUUUCGGUAAGGGAUGGGCUCGCGGCCUAUCAGCUUGUUGGUGGGGUAAUGGCCUACCAAGGCGUCGACGGGUAGCCGGCCUGAGAGGGUGGACGGCCACAUUGGGACUGAGAUACGGCCCAGACUCCUACGGGAGGCAGCAGUGGGGAAUAUUGCACAAUGGGCGCAAGCCUGAUGCAGCGACGCCGCGUGGGGGAUGACGGCCUUCGGGUUGUAAACUCCUUUCAGCCAUGACGAAGCCCUUGUGGUGACGGUAGUGGUAGAAGAGGCACCGGCUAACUACGUG